Molecule: ribosomal RNA, 315 nt
Filed under: uncultured bacterium
Lineage: Bacteria
Description: bacterial SSU rRNA
Rfam family: Bacterial small subunit ribosomal RNA
Source: RNAcentral
UGGAGCUUAACUCCAUCAUGGCAGUGGAAACUGUUGGGCUUGAGUGUGGUAGGGGCAGAGGGAAUUCCCGGUGUAGCGGUGAAAUGCGUAGAUAUCGGGAAGAACACCAGUGGCGAAGGCGCUCUGCUGGGCCAUCACUGACGCUCAUGGACGAAAGCCAGGGGAGCGAAAGGGAUUAGAUACCCCUGUAGUCCUGGCCGUAAACGAUGAACACUAGGUGUCGGGGGAAUCGACCCCCUCGGUGUCGUAGCCAACGCGUUAAGUGUUCCGCCUGGGGAGUACGCACGCAAGUGUGAAACUCAAAUGAAUUGACGG